Molecule: ribosomal RNA, 495 nt
Filed under: uncultured bacterium
Lineage: Bacteria
Description: partial 16S ribosomal RNA
Rfam family: Bacterial small subunit ribosomal RNA
Source: RNAcentral
GACGAACGCUGGCGGCGUGCCUAAUACAUGCAAGUAGAACGCUGAAGGAGGAUCUUGCUUCUCUGGAUGAGUUGCGUACUGGUGAGUAACGCGUAGGUAACCUGCCUGGUAGCGGGGGAUAACUAUUGGAAACGAUAGCUAAUACCGCAUAAGAGUAGAUGUCUCAUGACAUUUGCUUAAAAGGUGCAUUUGCUUCACUACCAGAUGGACCUGCGUUGUAUUAGCUAGUUGGUGAGGUAACGGCUCACCAAGGCAACGAUACAUAGCCGACCUGAGAGGGUGAUCGGCCACACUGGGACUGAGACACGGCCCAUACUCAUACGAAAGGCAGCAGUAGGGAAUCUUCGGAAAAGGACGGAAGGCUGAACGAGCAACGCAGCGUGAGUGAAGAAGGUAUUAGGAUCGUAAAGCUCUGUUGUAAGAGAAGAACGAGUGUGAGAGUGGAAAGUUCACACUGUGACGGUAUCUUACCAGAAAGGGACGGCUAACUACGAG